RNAcentral lists this ribosomal RNA (305 nucleotides) under Allomedmassa mae. RNAcentral describes it as "partial 12S ribosomal RNA". Lineage: Eukaryota; Metazoa; Arthropoda; Arachnida; Araneae; Corinnidae. The record is from RNAcentral.
AGGUAGUAUUUAAACCUAUUUACAAUGGCGGCUUUUCAUCUUACUAGAGGAACUUGUUUAUUAAUUCGACAAUCCACGUUAAUUCUAACUUUAUUUAAAAGCUUAUAUAUCUCCAUAUAAAGAAUUAAUAUAAAAAUUUAUUCUUAAUAAAAAAUAAAAAUUUAGGUCAAGGUGUAGCCUAUCUUUAAGCUAAAAUGAGUUACAUUAAAUACUAUUUAAGGAAUUAAAACUAAAGUUUUAAAGAAAAAGAAUUUAAAAAUAAUAAUCAAAAUAAUAAUUUAUUAUGAAUAAGAUUAUAAAAGUGC